GACGAACGCUGGCGGCGUGCCUAAUACAUGCAAGUUGAGCGAUGAAGCUUGGUGCUUGCACCAAUUUGAAGAGCAGCGAACGGGUGAGUAACGCGUGGGUAAUCUGCCUUUGAGCGGGGGACAACAUUUGGAAACGAAUGCUAAUACCGCAUAACAACUUUAAACAUAAGUUUUAAGUUUGAAAGAUGCAAUUGCAUCACUCAAAGAUGAUCCCGCGUUGUAUUAGCUAGUGGGUGAGGUAAAGGCUCACCAAGGCGAUGAUACAUAGCCGACCUGAGAGGGUGAUCGGCCACAUUGGGACUGAGACACGGCCCAAACUCCUACGGGAGGCAGCAGUAGGGAAUCUUCGGCAAUGGACGAAAGUCUGACCGAGAAACGCCGCGUGAGUGAAGAAGGUUUUCGGAUCGUAAAACUCUGUUGGUAGAGAAGAACGUUGGUGAGAGUGGAAAGCUCAUCAAGUGACGGUAACUACCCAGAAAGGGACGGCUAACUACGUG
This 497-nucleotide ribosomal RNA is filed under the name uncultured bacterium. RNAcentral describes it as "partial 16S ribosomal RNA". It matches the Rfam family "Bacterial small subunit ribosomal RNA", at positions 28 to 507 of the family's 1533-position model. The record is from RNAcentral.